GGUAUUUGUGCCCAGUUGAUCACCAUGCACAAAGGCUGAAUGACUCCUCACCCUGUAUCAUAGCCUUCAGUUCUAAGGUGGAGAUUGACAGAACCCAAUCAGAAAACAAAACAAAACAAAAAUAAACCACAACAAGAACAACAGACAUGCAUGUGGGUGGCAUUGGUAAACUGACAGUCCCUAAAGAAGGUAAUUUCUUGGGCUAUGUGUAAGGCUCUUUUCGAGACCCAAGGAAGACUCGGAGGCAUCUGCACUUGCUCUGCCAGUCCGCGAUUGGUUUUUGGUCAUGGUGUUUAGUCACAGCAACAGAAACCCUAACCAUGACAACAUAAAAGAACGACCUGAGAGUGAUAUUUGGGGAGAGGGAAAGGACUGAGAGAGUAGGUCACAGGCUUGAAACUUAGGAUUCCCUACCUCCUGGCCCCUGUCCUGCACAGGACACGACUCACUGUCUGCUUCUGAGAAUGAUCCAGACUCGUCACUGGAAUUGGUUCCGUAAGACUGCUCACAUUUAAUCUGGGGUCGGACUUGGUUGUACAUUCCAUCUCCCAUCAGGCCUGGUUCCUGAUGUUCCGUGGCAAGGAAUCUGGCUCCCUGGGAACAGGGCGAAGAGGAGAACUCACAGAGAGGGAGGCUGCAGGGGGAGCCCCCGCUCCCGUCCUCUGCGUAGGAAUACGAGGAGCAG
Molecule: long non-coding RNA, 685 nt
Filed under: Mus caroli (Ryukyu mouse)
Lineage: Eukaryota; Metazoa; Chordata; Mammalia; Rodentia; Muridae
Description: BTB and CNC homology 2, opposite strand (MGP_CAROLIEiJ_G0003491.1)
Source: RNAcentral